GGCGAGGUGCCUUCCGAGUUCCCUGGAACGGGACGCCAUAGAGGGUGAGAGCCCCGUCUGGUUGGAUACCGAGCCUCUGUAAAGCUCCUUCGACGAGUCGAGUAGUUUGGGAAUGCUGCUCUAAAUGGGAGGUAUAUGUCUUCUAAAGCUAAAUAUUGGCCAGAGACCGAUAGCGCACAAGUAGAGUGAUCGAAAGAUGAAAAGCACUUUGAAAAGAGGGUUAAAUAGUACGUGAAAUUGUUGAAAGGGAAGCGCUUGUGACCAGACUUGGGCCCGGUGAAUCAUCCAGCGUUCUCGCUGGUGCACUUUGCCGGGCUCAGGCCAGCAUCAGUUUGCUUCGGGGGAUAAAGGCUUUGGGAAUGUGGCUCCUCCGGGAGUGUUAUAGCCCAUUGCAUAAUACCCUGAGGCGGACUGAGGUUCGCGCCUUCGGGCAAGGAUGCUGGCGUAAUG
Molecule: ribosomal RNA, 450 nt
Filed under: soil fungal sp. DM101
Lineage: Eukaryota; Fungi
Description: eukaryotic LSU rRNA
Rfam family: Eukaryotic large subunit ribosomal RNA
Source: RNAcentral